This 938-nucleotide ribosomal RNA is filed under the name bacterium HTCC8042. Its description in RNAcentral is "bacterial SSU rRNA". It matches the Rfam family "Bacterial small subunit ribosomal RNA", at positions 58 to 989 of the family's 1533-position model. The record is from RNAcentral.
CAAGUCGAACGGAAAAUGAGCAUAGCUUGCUAAGCUCAUUUUUAGUGGCGGACGGGUUAGUAACACGUGAGAUACAUACCCUUUAGACAGGAAUAGCCCAUGGAAACGUGGAUUAAUGCCUGAUAGUCUCUACGGAGUAAAUGAUGCCUUCGGGUGUCGCUAAAGGAUUGGCUCGCGGCCUAUCAGUUAGUUGGUGAGGUAAAGGCUCACCAAGACUACGACGGGUAGCUGGUCUGAGAGGACGAUCAGCAACACUGGAACUGAGACACGGUCCAGACACCUACGGGUGGCAGCAGUCGAGAAUCAUUCACAAUGGAGGCAACUCUGAUGGUGCAACGCCGCGUGGAGGAUGACGGUCCUAGGAUUGUAAACUCCUGUCAUUGGGGAGUAAGACUUAGUAGUUAAUAGCUUCUAAGUUUGAUAGUACCCAAAGAGGAAGGGACGGCUAACUUCGUGCCAGCAGCCGCGGUAAUACGAAGGUCCCAAGCGUUGUUCGGAAUAACUGGGCGUAAAGCGUGUGUAGGCUGCGCGGAAAGUCAAAUGUGAAAGCCAGGGGCUCAACCUCUGAACUGCAUUCGAUACUCCCGUGCUAGAGUAAUGGAGAGGUAAGUGGAAUUCUCGGUGUAGCAGUGAAAUGCGUAGAUAUCGAGAGGAACAUCAAUGGCGAAGGCAACUUACUGGACAUUUACUGACGCUCAGACACGAAGGCUAGGGGAGCGAAAGGGAUUAGAUACCCCUGUAGUCCUAGCAGUAAACGGUGCUCGCUUGGUGUGGGAGGGUUCGACCCCUUCUGUGCCGGAGCUAACGCGUUAAGCGAGCCGCCUGGGAAGUACGGUCGCAAGACUAAAACUCAAAGAAAUUGACGGGACCCGCACAAGCGGUGGAGUAUGUGGCUUAAUUCGAUGCAACGCGAAGAACCUUACCUAGGCUUGACAUGC